CCUACGGGCGGCUGCAGUGGGGAAUAUUGGACAAUGGGGGGAACCCUGAUCCAGCCAUGCCGCGUGUGUGAAGAAGGCCCUCGGGUUGUAAAGCACUUUCAGUGAGGAAGAACGCCUGGUGGUUAAUACCCAUCAGGAAAGACAUCACUCACAGAAGAAGCACCGGCUAACUCCGUGCCAGCAGCCGCGGUAAUACGGAGGGUGCGAGCGUUAAUCGGAAUUACUGGGCGUAAAGCGCGCGUAGGUGGCUUGAUAAGCCGGUUGUGAAAGCCCCGGGCUCAACCUGGGAACGGCAUCCGGAACUGUCAAGCUAGAGUGCAGGAGAGGAAGGUAGAAUUCCCAGUGUAGCGGUGAAAAGCGUAGAGAUCGGGAGGAGUACCAGUGGCGAAGGCGGCAUUCUGGACUGACACUGACACUGAGGUGCGAAAGCGUGGGUAGCAAACAGGAUUAGAUACCCUGGUAGUC
RNAcentral lists this ribosomal RNA (465 nucleotides) under Vreelandella stevensii. Its description in RNAcentral is "partial 16S ribosomal RNA". It matches the Rfam family "Bacterial small subunit ribosomal RNA", at positions 338 to 795 of the family's 1533-position model. The record is from RNAcentral. Lineage: Bacteria; Pseudomonadati; Pseudomonadota; Gammaproteobacteria; Oceanospirillales; Halomonadaceae.